GGGGGUGUAGCUCCAAUUGGCAGAGCAGAGGUCUCCAAAACCUCGUGUUACAGGUUCGAACCCUGUCACCCCCG
This is a non-coding RNA of Parcubacteria group bacterium, 74 nucleotides long. The record is from Rfam.